This 24016-nucleotide long non-coding RNA is filed under the name Capsicum annuum. RNAcentral's name for it is "long non-coding RNA (CANN_LNC000701)". The record is from RNAcentral. Lineage: Eukaryota; Viridiplantae; Streptophyta; Magnoliopsida; Solanales; Solanaceae.
UCAAUCUUUACCUAGCAAGAGCUUCCAAAAUUUAUUUUCUUGAUCAUAUCUGUAGAGUCACAUAAUAUGAUAAAUGUUAGAUACCAAUCAUUCAUAUUCUCCCCAUAACAAUCUAUUUAGCCUUAUAAUAGACAGUUUUAUCAACAUAAAGAUUCAACACAUCUCUUAUCAAAUCUUGAUUUUUUUAAAUCAUUACUUAUGGUUGAAAAAUAAUUUUGUCCUUAAACUUUUUUGCAAUCAACUUUGAAUCACACAUCUUGUUCUUGUUUAAAGGAAUACACUUUUAAAUAGGGUGAUAGUUUUUAACAAUAAAAUUACCUGAGUCCCUAUUAGUAGAAGCAAAUAACAACUAUUUGCAAUUAGCUAUAAUACACUUCACCCUUAUUUUAUGUUUCUCAUUAGGUGUUAACUUUAAUUGCCUCUUAUACUCUACAGUAUAAUCUGCAACAGUUUUUUGUAACUAUUUCAUACCCUCAAAAUUCAUUCCAAGGUCAAACACAACAAAUUCACAAUUCUCAUCAUACCUAACUUUCUUACUUCUCCUUCUUUUAAGUAGAUCUACUCCUCUAAUAAUAUCUAAAUCAAGCUCAUCUUCUCUAUCUUUACUCUGAUAGUCAAUGCUAUUAAGAUAUUCCUCAUUUUCACCCAACCGUCCAGCAUAUUUGUUAGCCUUAUCUUUUUCAAUAUCCUCAAAGUUUUUAUUUACAUAACCAACAACUCCUACAAGUGCUUCAGUUUCAACAACCUUCUUCCUUGCUUUUUUAUUUCUUUUUCGUCGUUUUUUCUUUCUUGUCUCAAAGCCCCCAACUCCUUAUCAACAUCUGAGCCAUCUUUUAAAAGAAUGCCUCCAAGAUCUGAAUCAUUAUUCAAAUAAUCUGAUACAUCAUCUUCUAGAUGAAUAUCUUCUAGGUUAGCAUCUUCUACAUCUACCUCAUCACCUACUAUAUUAAUAUCUUCUACAUCAGCCUCAUCUACUUUGUUAGAAGUGUAUCUCUUUGUCUCUCCCUCCAUCUCUCUUUAUGUUAACACUCUCAUCAACACCAAUAAAUUUUCUCUCUAAGUUAACACCUUCACCAACCUCAUCUGCUGACACCCUUUUACUAUCAAUAACUUCUGGUCCAGUUAAAAGACCUGCAGGUCCAUUAGUGUCAAGUACUGGUUCAUCUAAAACAUGAUUGACAUAGAAGUCAAUAGAGUCCUCAUGUUUUAAAUCUUUAACUAGUUCUAGAAGAUGUUGGUCAUUUGUAACCAAGUUGAACUCUUUAGUUACUAUAUCUUGGUAAUAAAAUUUUCCAACAGUUUCAUAUUUUAAUUCUCUAGUAUAAUAUAACAAUUUCAGUAAUGAAAAGUGGUCCUUAGCAAUAAACCUUAGUGCUGGCACACAGUUUUCAAUGUAUGUAGGAACGGGAAUAUCGAAUAAGACCCCCCUUGGUAAAUAUUUUUAAAAAUAAUCUUUAUUUGUUAGGUCACCUGCAAUAAAAGGUAAAAAAUCAAAGUAAUUAAACGGAAGACACCCAAAGAACACACCAACAAGCUAAAAGUACAACUUUUAAUGCAUAUGAAGAAAGUGACGGAAUAUUCUCAAAAACACAUCUCCUACAAUGACAUUUCAAAUCCUAAAAAUUAAAUUAUGCUAAAAUUUAACAAAUAUAAAUUAUAAAAACACUUACACGAGGAAGAUGUAAGCAAAAUUUCUAAACUUCUUCUUCGAUUUGACAAGAAUUAUGGCUAAAUUAGGGCAAAAAAUCAAAGAGAGAGAGAGAGAGUAAAGGUCGGGGAGAGAGAAAAAGGGAUUGAGCUUCCAUUAAUUUGCGAUUUUUUGCCCUUUUAAAUCUCAUUUAUUUUUACAUGGAUAUAUUUAAUACACUUGGAGAAAUUUGAAUGUACUUAAUUUCCACAUAGGCAGCGGUUGGUUACACGCGGAGGAUAUUUCAUGGGAUAUGGGUAUAAAAGGUCUACGUGAAUCAAAUUUCGAGCUAGUUAGAAAUCUAAAUGGUAUAAGUCUGAGUUUAGCAGUCCAAGUGAAAUAUUGAUACAAGUUUAGGGAGUUUAAGAACACUUUUACAUAAAACAUUCUUAACCUCUCAUGCACUGAUAAACUUGACCAACCAUGCUAUAUAUCUACUUAAAUAUAUAAUGUCCCUGAUGUGAACUUUCCAAUUUUAGGCUGAGGAUGUACGGGAAUCAUAUUUUUUAUCUGAAAUAAUAUGUCGCAAGGUCCCUCAACCUGACACCAUCUUUAACUUUAAAUCUCAAGUGGACGUUGUUCACUUUAGACACAUCAACUAGCGUACGGGUGUGUCAUUUUGACACCUUUUGCAGCGUUGACAUGACGUGUGUAUUUCACUUACCUGAAGGUGAGUGGAAGUCCUUUUUUGACUGAUGUAGCGUCCAAGUUGGCUCACAAACAGUAUAUUAACUCAUCUCAAUUAAUUUAUAAUUCUUCAUCAUUUUUAUCCACUAUUUUUGUCAAUCUUAAGCUUAUUCAAUUAUAAAAAUUAUUGUGAGAGAUUUAAAAUUAAAUACACAUUUAGAAAUUCGUGAAAAUUAAAUAACAAACACCACUUUUUUUAAUUAUUUUUUUUCUUUUCAAAUAUUAAAAAUGGACAUGGCUAUUUAAUCAAAUUAUAAACCAAAUUUAAUCAAAAGACCUCACCAUUAUUGAAAAAGAAAAUCCAUCUGUAAAAAAAAAAAAAACUAAAAAUAAAUUAAUUUUCAUUUACAAUUUGCUUUGGAAGUUCGACUCAGUUUAACGGCUGACAUUCACUAGUAAUUUGCAUUUAAAAUUCACUCAAAAAUUACUUCAAAGUUAAAAAAAAAAAAAUAAAAAAAAAAAAAAAAAACUUAUAUAUGAGAUCCACAAGACAUUCCUAAUCUAUUGUUAUAAUAAUUAUUCUGAACCAAACUUAAGUCCUAUCUGAGUUUAAGUUUGGUGCACCGUCAGUAUAGUUUAUUUUUACACCAGCAGGUGACUUUUACCUGUUGUAGCAGGUGAUCCAUUUUUAUAUUUUUACCUGAGAAAUGGAUGACCUACUAUAUCAAGUAAAAGUUACCUGAUGAUAUAAAAAAAAACUACACCGACGGUGCACCAAACUUGAGUCCUAUCUUGAAUGGUGUUGGUUUGCGAACAUUCAAACUUUAAACUCAAGCUUCGGACUACAUUAAUGACUAUCAAUGGAGUUCUCUUAGCUUGUCUGUUUCUUUAAGUCUUAAGCUCGAAUUCAGUAACUAAUAUCUUACCCUCUGUUUGGAUAGUGGUUUCCCAUGAUAUGGUAUGAUAUAGUUAUUAAGAGAACCAUGAUUGUUUUGAUUGUUUCUUAAAAUGUAUGUUUCGGACUUAUGAUAUGAUUUAAUUUCAUGGUUUGGUAACCAUGAAAAUCCCUCGUUUUAUGUAACCACCGAUUUGAUGGUAUCCCAUGAUUUGCUUAUUUUUUUUCAAUUAUGUUCUUACUUAAUAUUAUAUAAUCUUAUUUUAUCCUUCACCUUAUAUUAUUUAACUCCACCUCCAACCCCAUCCUCCACCCCACUAGUCGCGCCCCCCGCCCCUACCUUGACCCGACCCCAUCCCCACCAAACCCUCCACCACAAUUUUUUUAAAAAUAUUUCAAAAACUUUUUCUUACUUGACCCUCACUCCCAACCCACCACCUAUUAACCUUCCCCCCACCAAUUUUUUUUUUUUUUAAUUUUCAAGAAAAUUUUCUUACCCCCCCCCCAUCCCCCCGCCUCUAUACACACAAAAAAGAAAUAAUCUUUUAAAUUAAUAUAUUUUUAAAAAAUUUAGAACUUUUUUUCUUACCCCCACUCCUACCCCUACCCCUUAUCCCGACUCCCACUCUACUAGCCCCACCCCUAAAAUAUUUUUUUAAAAAAAUUUAAUCUUUUUCUCAUCCUUCCCCUUUAUCAUAUUUGUUUUUAUUAUUUUGUGUUAAAUAUAUACAAAUGUUUUUAAAAAAUAUUUUUCUACUUGUGUUACGAACACAAUAAAAUAAGUAAGAAAUAAUUUAUUUUCUUGAAAAAAUAAUAUUUUUUUUUUUGGAUUUCAUACUGAACACACCCGGAGCAUACAUAAAAAUGCAUUCAAACUUUCUACUUGUCAUUAGUGUCACGUUUCAAAACACCAAAAAGAAAUAAAAUUUGUUACUAUAAAAAAUAAAUUCGAUUAUAUUUAUUUGAUCUACUAUAUUGACUUUGUUAGAAUUUACAUGAAUUUAACAACUUAAUAAUCUACACGACAUAAUUUAUGAUAAAUUAGUAGGAAGAAAAUUAUUUUAUUAAUAAUAUUGAUAAAAUUAACAUUUAUAAUAAUUAAGGACAUUUUAGUAAACUUACCAGUUACAAUACAGUACCAUACUAUCAAACCAAAUAAUAAAACUCUCAUCAAAUAACAGUGAACAAUACAGUCUAUCCAAACAUUGUAUUGUACUAUACUGUACCGUACCAUACCAUGUCAUAUAGUACCGUACAUUAUUAAAUCAUGACAAAUCACCAUCCAAACCAGAAGCGGCUCCAUGCUUUAAAGAAUUAGACACCCGCCUUUAGGCCCCUAAAUUUGAGGAGCCUCAUUUUCUUAGCAAUAAUAAAAUUACUAUAGGAUUUAUUUAAGAAAAUAUUUUAUACUAUUAGUUUUAAUUUUUUUUUUUUUAAACAUGUUUAAUCCUAUAAGAUUAGAGAACAUUUUUGGUGUAUUUUAUAUAUAUAAAAAAAAAGAAAUAAUUUUACAUCUCAAAAUAUUUUGAAAGAGAUAUAUUAGCAACUUUGCAUUUUAAAAAGUUAGAAAAAUAGACUUUAAAUUAAGAAAAUAUUUAUUUUCUUAAAAAAAAAUUAAGGCCUCCUAUUCAUUUUUGACUUUAGGCCACCAACGAACUUGAGUCGUCCCUGAUCCAAACAAAGUGUUAAAUGCUCUUAAAAUAGAUUCCGAAGAGAUUUACACAAAGAACAACAACUACAAAUUUUACAAAAUUGAAAUUGAGGGAUUUAGAGAUUUAGGAGAAGGGUUGGAGAAGACACUUUUGGGGGGUGGAGUAUUGGAGAAGAUGAUUGAGGGGGAGGAGAAAGGGGCAUUACAAAGACAAUAACUUGGAGGUGAGGUAUUAGAAAAGCUGAUUUUGGAUUUGGGGUGGAUGAGGUGGGGGGGGGGGGGGGNNNNNNNNNNNNNNNNNNNNNNNNNNNNNNNNNNNNNNNNNNNNNNNNNNNNNNNNNNNNNNNNNNNNNNNNNNNNNNNNNNNNNNNNNNNNNNNNNNNNNNNNNNNNNNNNNNNNNNNNNNNNNNNNNNNNNNNNNNNNNNNNNNNNNNNNNNNNNNNNNNNNNNNNNNNNNNNNNNNNNNNNNNNNNNNNNNNNNNNNNNNNNNNNNNNNNNNNNNNNNNNNNNNNNNNNNNNNNNNNNNNNNNNNNNNNNNNNNNNNNNNNNNNNNNNNNNNNNNNNNNNNNNNNNNNNNNNNNNNNNNNNNNNNNNNNNNNNNNNNNNNNNNNNNNNNNNNNNNNNNNNNNNNNNNNNNNNNNNNNNNNNNNNNNNNNNNNNNNNNNNNNNNNNNNNNNNNNNNNNNNNNNNNNNNNNNNNNNNNNNNNNNNNNNNNNNNNNNNNNNNNNNNNNNNNNNNNNNNNNNNNNNNNNNNNNNNNNNNNNNNNNNNNNNNNNNNNNNNNNNNNNNNNNNNNNNNNNNNNNNNNNNNNNNNNNNNNNNNNNNNNNNNNNNNNNNNNNNNNNNNNNNNNNNNNNNNNNNNNNNNNNNNNNNNNNNNNNNNNNNNNNNNNNNNNNNNNNNNNNNNNNNNNNNNNNNNNNNNNNNNNNNNNNNNNNNNNNNNNNNNNNNNNNNNNNNNNNNNNNNNNNNNNNNNNNNNNNNNNNNNNNNNNNNNNNNNNNNNNNNNNNNNNNNNNNNNNNNNNNNNNNNNNNNNNNNNNNNNNNNNNNNNNNNNNNNNNNNNNNNNNNNNNNNNNNNNNNNNNNNNNGUUUUGGGUGGGGUGGGGGGGGGGGGGGGGGGCGUUGCAUCAUAAUUUUGUGAGUGGGCUAGCUUGGAGAAGAUGAUCUUGGGGGUGGGGGUCAUUUAUUAAUUGAAUUUUUUUAAAAAAAUAAAUUAAUUAUGUAAAAUUUAUUUUGGAGAAAAAUGAUAAAUGUCAUCGUAUUAUUUGUUAUUUUACAUGUUAUCGAUGCAUGUAAUACACGCACAUUAUAUAUUAUUGUUGAUUGUGCAAAAAAACAUCAAAAUGACAUACCUAUACGUUAGUUAAGGUGCUUAAAGUAAACUACGUCCAUUUAAGGUAAGAAAAUGAAAAAAAUGCCAAAUUGAAAAGUCUAACGAUGUAUUCCUCCUUUUUAUCCUAUUUUAUUUGUUAUCCAGACGUUCAAAACGUGCAAAAUACUACUCCGUGAUGUCACAUAACAUUAUAUUAACCCCCAUCUCCCGCCAAAAAAAAGAAUGACAUCAUGUACACUGCAAAAGGAUAAAUGCUAAUUUUAUUGGAUUGCAGUUGCUAUCGCAUGUGGUUGUUUAAACUGGAAAGCUGAAUCUUUUAAUUACUUGCAUGAUUUUUUUUUAAUUUUUUUUUAUGUUGGGUUUUUAUUUAGUGUUUGAUAUUUGUAUUCGAAUCUUAAUUAAUUGAUUUUUUCAUUGCAUAUGAUCCAUUCAGGGGAAAAAUUUUCCGUCAAGGAUCUUUUCAUACCCAAGACUUGAAUUUGAUACUUUAGAUUAAGAGAGGAUCAGCCACAUUCGUUGCAUCACAUUUUUUUUUAAUGAUUAGUUUGAUUUUAGGGAAGAGGGUAAAAUUUAUUCCUCUACUUUGAAAAAUUGGCUAAAUAUACCGUUCAUCAUAUUUCGGGGUCAAAUUUACCCUUGUUGUCAUACUUUGGGACCAAAUAUAUCCCUCUACUUUGAAAAAUUGGCUAAAUAUAUCCUUCAUCAUAUUUUAGAGUUAAAUUUAUCCUUGAUGUCAUACUUUGGGAUAAAAUUUACCCUCAUUGUUAAGAAACUUUUUACAUGUACCAUUCCUUAAAUAGAAAAGUUCAAAUUAAUGUUAAAUGUCAUUUUUUUAAAAAAAUAAAACAGACUCUAAUCUAAUUCGUCUGACCCGAGUCGAGCCACAAAAAAGAUACAAAUAAAUAUUCCCUUUUAGUUCUGUUGCUCAAAUUUUUUCAACGAGAUUAAGCUUCUGAAUAUUUAUUUGUGCAUAACUCAUGAAAAAUAAAUCUGCACCAGUGCAAAUACAAAUAACAUAUAUCUCCCUCAGUUCAUAGAUUUGCAUCAGUGUAGAGCUCAUAAAAAAUGACAUUUAGCUAUCAAAUAUAACAGAUUAGAUCCACUGGAUAUUUUUCUGAAUGAUUGAGUUAAAAGGUCUUUCCAAUGUUCCAACCGUGAUAUCUCUUCACUCUUAUGUCUUUAUAUGCAAUUUGAAUCUACUAAAUUUUCAUUAUGUCAUUUGCUCAGACAACUUACGUUGAUUCUAGAAUCUAGAUACACAUAAAAUUAAAUACUAAAAUUUUAAAAUUUGAACAUAACUGAAUAAAAGCAGAGUUUAUAAUAGACAUUUUCUCUAGUUCCAUGCUUCUGCGUUAACCUAUUUCAUUCUACUUUUUGUUCAUUUGUAAACAACCUAUCAAUGUUAUUGGAUGCUGAGAAAGAAGUAUAUUUUUUCGUUAAGAAAGUUCGACCAAUAAAACUGAGAGUAAAGGGGUUAUAUUUGCUUGUGACCUUUUUUGUCUCGAGUUGGAUCGGACGAAUUAGAUUAAAGUGUAUUUUAUUUUUAAAAAAUAGGUCAUUUAAUGUUGAUUUGAGCUUUUCUAUUAAAGGAAGGACACAUGUGAAAAAUUUCUUAACAACGACAAUAAAUAUGACCCCAAAAUAUGACAUCGAGGAUAAAUUUGAUCCAAAAUAUGAUAAAGGAUAUAUUCAAUUUUUAAAAGUAAAAAGAUAAAUUUGACACCAAAAUAUAACAAUGAGUAUAAAUUUAACUUCAAAAUAUGAAGAAGGGUAUAUUUAGCCUAUCAAAGUAGAAAAAUAAAUUUGACCCUUUUCCCUUGAUUUUAUAUUUGUAGUAUUUUAUGGUAUUUGUAGUGAUUCAAUCACCUAAUUCUUAAUAUUGGGAUAAAAAAAACAUAAAUUUGAAUUCAAGGAUAAAUCCUCUUUUAGAAAAAUAUUACAGUAAAAUCUACUAGGGUACUUUGUAUAAAUGACAAAUAUUUUAAAUUUUAAAUGCAAACAUUAUCUUAAGAUUAAUUUAAAUAUUUUUAAUUUCUUGACCGACGAACGAAGAAUUAGUCUUACGGCUGCCGUCUAUGGGAAUAUCUUGGGAAAUCAAAAAGAAAAAAAUAUUUUUAAUUUCAUUAUGUAUUUAAAAUAUAAAGUCUUAACUCAAUAAAUGAAUAAAUAUAAUAUUUAACUUGAAUUAUAAUAUGACAUUUAUUGAAUUUGACAAGAAAGAUAAUUAAUAAAAAUGUCACAUUUAAAUGCAUCCCCAUCCUUUGCCGAAAAACUAAUUAUUAUCACCAAGCCAUAAAUGCCCUUCCACGCUGGCCUAAUUUUAUCUUCUUUUUUAUACUUUACCACUAUGUCCAUAACGUACCAUUAAUCUUUACUGGGAAAAAUCAUUUAGUAGUAAAGAAGAUGAGGGUUUUAUUUUGUCAUUUUUGGUUUACUCACGCCGAAUGAAAAUUCAUGUGCGGUGAUCUUUUUGGCUCAUGAACUAACUUUUGAACUAGAAACAAACUCAAAAUCCAAUUCUUUACGCCAUGCAAUUCAAUUAAUUAUAAUUUUGCCUACAUAAGAUUUGAUUUGAAGUGAUAAAGAAAAAAUCCUCCACGAUGGAAAGUUUCUUCAUUUUUAAAUUUGAACUUAAAAAAGGCAUAAAACAUAAGUAUGUACGUUAAUAUAGUCUCCAUCGACACUUACACGUCUUUCAAUUUUAAAUAUGCAUAAAUUUUAUAAAAUUAAAUAAACAAAUAUAUGUGUCCUACAUAAUAUAGACAGUCUCACACAAACUUAAAAACUCUAAUUAAAAAUAAAAUCUUAUUGUAUCUACUCAAAUCACACUAUUUAGUGACUACAUUAAAUAAGAUAUUUGUGUUUCCCAGCUAACAAAGCAAGAAAACAAAUACAUACAAACGUGUAACUGUCCAAAUCCCACCAUCCCCCACUCCACUCCGCUCCCCACAGGUGCUCUAUAAAAUUCAGCUUCACGAGACCACAUUACUGUCUUUGAUACCCCCCACCCCCAACCCAAACAACAUCACACUCACAAUGUCAUCCACAACUCCAUUAGUUUUUCUAAUUCUAAUAGUGAACCACCACCAUAAUUGGGUUGCUGCUGACUCUAGCAGCCCAAUAAAGACGGUGGUGGUUCUAGUAAUGGAGAACAGGUCAUUCGACCACAUGUUAGGAUGGAUGAAGAAGUUGAACCCGAAAAUCAAUGGGGUAGACGGAUCAGAAUCCAACCCGAUUUCAACGAGUGACCUGAAUUCCCGAAAGAUUUUCUUCAGGGACGGGUCACAUUAUGUUGAUCCAGAUCCGGGACAUUCAUUUCAAGCAAUAAGAGAGCAAAUAUUUGGGUCAAAUGAUAGUACAAGAAAACCAGCAAUGAAUGGAUUUGUUCAACAAGCUCUUUCUAUGGAUUCUAAUAUGCCUGAUCAGGUCAUGAAUGGUUUCCAACCCGAUAUGGUAAGUUUCUGUUCGGACUUCGGUAUUUGGUAUCUGUUUAAAAUUUUUACUUUGAAUGUAAAAAAUAAUUUCUGUAAUAAACGACUUCAUAUUCUGGGCUCAAAUCUACUCGUAUACCACUAUCCACUACUAUCACUCUUCUGUUCUUAAUCCCAUAAUCUUUAAAAUAUCUGCUAUUUAUUCGUAAUUCAUCAGUUAAUUUUUUAUAUGACCACUCAAUUAAUAAUUUUUAUUUAUAAAACUUAUUCAAUUUUAUUUUGUAAUAUAAUAGUCACUCAAUUAAUCGUACUUAUCUCAGAAAGUCAUUCAGUUUUAUUUCGUAACAAAAAAUUUACUCGACUAUUGGUACAACACACAUAAAGAAUCAAUUCAAGUGAUAUUUACGGGAGAUAUGACUGACAUGAAAAAAAUUUUAAGCCAAUUUUUUUUUAGAAAAAUAAAAACAUAUUUAUUUUAAUCAACCACUAAAAGUGAUCCACUUUUUUGUUUAACCGAUACGAAUAGCUUUUUAAUUAUUUCUUAAUAAUUUGGCAUAAAUAUUUUUAGAAUUUCAUAAAUAAAUCAGUAUAAUCCGGAGAAUAAUGUUAGAUAUGUGAAAACAUUCUUUAGGAUUAUGACGUUUGUGUUUCUCUCUCUAUUGAGUUUGAAUAAUAUGCUUGUGUAUGAUACUCUAGAAUGAGUAGCUGCCAAAUAUGUACUAGACAGUUGUGUUUGUUACAGUUAACCUUAUAUUAUUGAGUUUUUUAUUGAGUUGAUAAUUAAUAAUAAAAGAUGACAGUUGUUUAGUGAAUUUUAACUUUUUCUUUCACUAAUAAUGUACCAGACAUUUUCGCAUAACAAUAUUUGUUUUGAUUGUUAUGUAAAUUCGUGAUGAAUUUAUAACGAUAAAAAAAUAUUUUAUAUAAUGAUCAAUUUGGGUGUGAUCGAGUCGCUAUCAUUCUCUCUACCUUUUAAUUAGCUUUACCCCUAUACUUUAUUUUUCUUGGACGAUGGGUGGCAUUAUGAAACGAUGGAAAAUAAUAUAAUCUAUCCAACUAUAUAGUUCAUCUAAAUAAUAGUAGUACAAUAUAAGACAAUAUAACUCGAUACUACAAUACAUUAUAUAUGAAAUAAUAUGUGACAACCAAUUAGACAAAGUGUAAUAGUGAAGUUAACUUAAUAGAGCGUAAUAGCUUAAUUACCAUUUAAUAUAAUCAAUUAUUAUUGUACUUAAUAUUUGUAAAAAAUUUACAUAUAAUUAUCUAUUUAGUUAUUUAUUGCAUGCAUUUUUUUUCUUUCAGGUGGCUGUAUACAAAACACUAGUAUCGGAAUUUGCGGUAUUCGACCGAUGGUUUGCGUCGGUGCCCGCAUCGACUCAACCCAAUCGUCUCUACGUUCACUCAGCCACAUCUCACGGUGCUACAUCAAACAUUGCAUCGCUAUUAGCAAAAGGUUAUCCACAGAGAACGAUCUUUGAGAACUUAGAUGAUGCCGGAAUAGAUUUUGGAAUAUACUAUCAGAAUAUUCCUGCGACUCUGUUUUACUUGAAUUUGAGAAAGCUCAAGUAUGUAGGAAAGUUUCAUCCUUAUGAUAUCACAUUCAAAAAUGAUGCCAGAUCAGGAAAGUUACCAGGUAUGCAUGUCAAAUUUGUCAAUUUUUUAUUUUUCGAGAAUCAACUUAAUUAAUAUUUUGAAUUUGAAAUACUUAUAUUCAAACACGAAAAAAUAUUAUAAAAUAUGUGUAAUAAAAAAAUUAUACGAAAAAAAUUAUAAUUAUAAGAUAUAAAAAGACACAUAAUUUGAUUAUCAAAAAUUGGAAAUAUGUCCACGACGCCACCUCAAACAUCACAUCGCUAUUAGCCAAAGGUUAUUUACAGAGAACGAUCUUCAAGAACUGCCCGAUGUUGGAAUAAAUUUUAGAAUAUUCCGGCGAUUCGGUUUUAAUUUGAAUUUAUUAAGAAAGCGCAAGUAUGCAGGAAAGUUUCGUCCUUAUGACCUCACUUUCAAAAGUAAUAAUGCUAAGAGCUUGUUUGAAUAUAAAUAUUUUUUUUAGUUUAUGUGCUUGAAGGUUGAAAUAAGUAUUUAUAAAUUAAAUAGAUAAGUGUUUGAAUAAAAGUAUUGAAAUUGGAAAAAAUUAUUGAUAUAUUUAGUAAAUUAGUGUUGAUAAGUAUUUCUUUUGUUGUUAAAAUGAUUUAAAUGUCCUUAAAGAUGUUAAUAAAUUAAAUUAUAUAUAAUUUUUAAUUGCAAUAAUUCAAAAACAUCGGAGAAAGAUGACGAGGAAACUGGAAGGAAGAGACGGAGAAAAACGAUAAAGAGAAAAAGAAAGAAAAACAAUAUGUUUAAGGGCAGUAAAAUUGGAGUAUUAUUAGAAUUAAAGAAAAAUAUAAAGAAUAAAAAAUAAAUAUCUUGAUCAAAUUUAAAAAAAAAAAAUUAAUUCAAAAAGUUAAAAAACUGGAGGUGUCAGCAUCUCCCUUUUUGUUUUCUUUAAUCGAUUUUUAACUUUUUGUAAAAAAAAUUUUUAUUUUAUCAAAAUAUCUCAACUCCCCCUCCCCCCUCUUUGUGACACUUACUGAUUGUUGGGACUUAAUAUUAAUGUUUUAUAAUUAAAUUUUAUAUUUAAAAAUUAUAUGAUGUGCAAUUUUUCUCAUAUAUAUAUUUUUUUUGACAAUUAAUAAUUUUAUUAACUACUAAGUAAACAUUACAAAAGGACGGUAGAUCCAUAGCAGACUAUCCCAUCCCGUUGCUAAUCCCAGAGUAGAGACAUACCAGACACAAUUGAAAAUUUUAAAAUUUGAUAGUAAAUUUAUAAAUAAAAUUUAUAUAUUUAAAAAUUACAGAAAAAGAAUGACAAAUCAUAACAAUUAACUUUAAGGGGUCGUUUGGCGUGAGUAUAAGGAUAAAUAACUAUGAAAUAAUAAUAAAAGACUAUUUUAUUCUAUAUUUGAUGUGAGGUAUUAGUUAGUAUCAGAAUUAUUUAUCCUGUCACCAUAGUGAUGAGAUAAGUUAUUCCAUAUAUAUUGUGAAAUAACUAUUUUUGGAAUAACUAAUUUUGGGAUUGUAGAAAAAUUAGAACCAACUUUGGGAAAUUUUCUUGAUGAUCUUUAUUAUGUGUGAACCAAUGUAUAUAUAUACAUGUAUCUUAUGCAAGAAACUAAAUAAUAAAAACACAUGUAUCUUGUGCAAGAAGCUAAAUAAUAAAAACACAAAGCUAAUUAAUAAAACAACAAAAGAAAUAUCUAAACACUUGUAUCUUGUCUUGAUAUUUUUUCUUUAUUCUCAACAUCCCCUCUCAAGAUGGAGGGGAUCGAAGUGAAUCCCAUCUUGGCAAGAAAGCGGUAGUACGAUGGUCCAGAAAAGAAUUUUGUGAAUAUGUCGGCAAGUUGAUCCUUUGAAGGGAGAUAAUGAAGAGAAAUGAGCCCAAAAAAAAAUUGUUGCCGGACGAAAUGACAAUCUAGCUCCACAUGUUUUGUGCGUUCGUGGAAUACGGGAUUUCUAGCGAUAUGAAUCGCUGCUUGACUGUCAGAACGAAUGGGUAUUGGCAAAGCCGGUGGAACUAAUAGAUCAGAUAGUAAGCGAGUUAACCAAGUGAGCUUCACAACUAAUUAUCUCAUCGAUCGAUAUUCCGCUUCAGCGGAUGAAAGAGACAGAUUCUUGCUUCUUGGAUUUCCAGGAGAUGGGAGAACCUUCCAUGGAGAUGAAAAACCUACUGAUCGAUCGAUGAGAAUUUGGGCAAGACGCUCAAUCCACAUCACAAAAUGCAUUGAAGGAGAAAGAUGGAGAGAUAGAUAAGAAAAUCCCUCGACAAGAAUGUCCUUUCAGGUAACGCAGAACCCUUAAAGCUGCUGUGAAAUGUAUAUCGCAGGGAGUUUGCAUAAAUUGACUUAAUGUUAAUACUGCAUAGCAUAUAUCUAGCCUGGUAUGAGUUAAAUAACUUAGCUUGCCAAUCAAAUGCCUGUAAACAGAAGAAUCUGACAUAGGUGUUCCUGAUGAUUCAGAAAGUUUACAAGAAGGAUCCAUCGGAGAUGAUACAGGAUGCAAAUGAGAAAUGUCAAACUCUUGAAGAAAAUCAAAGUUAUAUUUCCUUUGACUGAUGAUAAUUCCAUGGUCUUCCCUUAAAAUUUUCAUUCCCAGAAAGUAAUGUAGAAGUCCUAGGUCUUUGAUUUUGAAUUCGGAAUGUAGAAACUAUUUUAGACACUCGAUCUCUUUGGUGUCACUACCUGUAAUGAGGAUAUCAUCGACGUAUACAACCACAAUAGAUAUCAAAGAACUAGUCUUUUUUGAAAAAUAGAGAGUAGUCGUUGAGAGAAACACUGUAACCUUUGAAAUUAAGAGCACCUGCAAGUUUGGCAUACUAUUACCUAGAAGCUUGUCUCAGACCAUAAAGUAACUUGUUGAGUUUGCACACUAAAUUAGGAUCAGGAGAAGACAAACCGGGUGGAAAAUUCAUAUACACUUCUUCUUGCAAAUCUCCUUGCAAGAAAGUAUUUUUAACAUCAAAUUAAGAAAUAUCCCAAUGCCUUUUAGCAGCCACAAACAAAAUACAUCGAAUUGUAGUCAUUUUGACUACGGGGGAGAAGGUUUCAUUGAAAUCUACGCCUUCCUUUUGGAUGUCCCCCCUUAUGACCAGCCUAGCUUUUAGCCCCUUAAGUGAUCCAUCUGCAUGAUGCUUUACCUUGUAAACCUAUUUGCAAGGUAAAGCCUUUCUUCCCGGUAGAAGUGGAACCACAUCCCAAGUGUGGUUGGACUGUAGAGAUGCUAGUUCAUCAUCUAUAGCACUGCACCAAUCUAGAUUAGUAGAUGCCUGGUGAUAACUAGUUGGUUCUUUGAUUGUAGACACUGAUUCAAGAAUGAGUUGAUUUGAUAAAGAGAGUCCAGCAAAAGAAAUAAAAUUUGGUGCAACAGAAGAUGCAAAACAAGACUCAGUAAUUGGGCUAAAAAAUAUAUUGUUACAGAAAUAAUCUUGUAAGUGGACUGGACGUACACUUUUAUUAGUUCUGUCCGAUCUUCUAACAAGUGGUGUACUAGUUGUAGGUAGAUUUUCUAGUGGAGAAGAUGGGGUUGAUUGUGAAUGUGAAGAAUCUGAAGCUGGUAGUGUAUGUGAAAGUGGAAAAGUGUGGUUUGUAGAAUUUGUGUUUGAAAAGGAGUGUGCCAUCAGUGAAAGAAACAGAUUCAUGGUCUGGUACAGAAAAAGUAGGUGGAGGUGAUAUGGGAUUCUUUGUAAAAGGAAAAAUGUUCGCAUAGAACUGGAAAUCUCUAGUGACAAUUAUUUUCUGUGUAUUCAACUCUAAGAGUUUAAAACCCUUUCGAUUAAUGGGAUAACCUAGAAAGAUACAAUCUUGUGCUCUUGGUUCAAACUUCCCUCUCCCAUGUGACAAAGUGCUAGCAUAGCACAAGUAUCCAAAAUACCUUAAUGAACUAUAAUUAGGUGCCUUACCAAACAAUCUAUGAUAGGGAGUUUUUCCAUGAAGGACUCUUGAAGGCAUCCUGUUAAUAAGAAAAGUAGCAGUGAGGAUACACUCUCCCCAAUAUCUUAAGGAAACCUGAGAUUGAAAUAAAAGAGCCCUUGCCGUUUCAAGCAAGUGCCUGUGCUUCCUCUCAACAACUCCAUUUUGUUGAGGGGUAGCCACACAGGAUGUUUGAUGUACAAUCCUUUGAGCGUUGAAAUAAUUAGUUGCAAUCAAGCUCUUUCCUAACUCCAGGGCAUUAUCUGACCUUAUUUUCUUUACCUUAACAUCAAAUUAUCUCUCAACCAUAUCAGAAAAUAUUGCAAUACAGGAAAGGCAUUACUUUUGGUUCUCAACAGAUAAGUCCAAGUCCCUCUACUGUAAUCAUCCACUAUAGUAAGAAAGUAUCUAUAUCCAUUGUAAGUAUCUACCUUGUAGGGUCCCCAAGUAUCAAUAUGAAUAGGUCAAAUAUAGAAGUUGGUGAAAUUUGACUAAUGCGGAAAGAAGGUCUAGAUUGUCUAGAUUUAGGACAAAUAUCACAAAAACACUCAGAAGUAGAUGGAAAAGAAAGGAAACUGACAUUCUUCAUUGAUGAAAAAGGCAAAUGCCCCAAUCUAAUAUGCCAACGUCUUACAUUAGAAGCUGCAUUAGUACAAAUGAGAGAGGAAACAAUACUAUCUUUAUUAGAAACAGAAACCGAAGAACACUACUAGGAUUAGUAACAAUCUUCCUACAAGUAUUCUUGCUGAAACUAGAGAAUGACUCCUUGGCAUUAGGCUUGAGUAGAUAAAAACCUUCUUGUGCUUCACCAAAAACUUGAGGCCUCCUCAUGGAAGGGCCCUGCAUCACACAGUUUGUCAGAGUGAAAUACAAGGUGCAAAAAAACUGUUUACACAACUUGUGGAUAGACAUAAUGUCACGCCUCAAAUCUUAUUGGGGCAGACUGGCACCCGUAACCGAGGAGGCCCGAGAGAACCAGCUCAUAACCUUAUACUUCCUAUGCAUACCUUUACGACAACCCGAAAUUCGGACAUCAUGAUGUUGCAUAUAAAAGGAAAUAAUCACCUGUAUAAGCUCGAACACACAUAUAUAUGUAUAUACAAUACUUGGCCGUUUGAGCCAUCAUGUCUAUUAACAAAACACCACCUUGACUGUACAUUAGGUCUACAAAGCCUCUAGACAAUACAAGAGUUUAACUAAGGUCGGGACAUACCCCGCCAUAUAACUAACUUUUAUACAAUAUCAAAAGUGACUGGUUAUGACACGGAAAUCCCUGAAGCAAACUGGAGCUCACCAAAAGCAACUGGAUAUCCUAGCUCCUACUUGUGUGGUGUAUGAGCUGAGGUACCUGUGUCUACAGCAUAAAAUGCAGGUCCCUCAUGAGGUAUGUCAGUACGAAAUAUGUACUGAGUAUGUAAAGUUGUAGAUAAUCACAUAUGAUAUAGGAGCUCAAUAGAAAUCAGAAACAGGUGAAUAAAUUGUAAUAGGAGUGGACCACACUUACUAGAACUUGUGACAACCUGUACAUUGUAUUUAUUCAAUCACUUUACCUUCGUUCUUAUCAUCUUUUAAUCAUUACUGUACUGUAUUGUGACCAUUAGGCUGUCUCCAAUACAUAUUAACUGGGAUCGACCCAUGAUAGGCUUAUGCCCCUGGGAUACCACCCAUAAACACAUAAAUAGGGAUCGACCCAUGAUAGACUUAUGCCCCUGGGAUACCACCCGAUAAGAGAGAACUUCCAUCACUUAGUUCAAUUAAUCUUUGAGAUUGUUAUUUUGGUCGCCACUAGGAACUUAUUUGUAUAUCAAUGAAACGUUUUGGAGUCAUUAAUAGCACAUGGAUCUUGUUUGAGUAACCGGAUACCUUCUGACAUUCAUUAGUGCAAUAAACAUGUAAGAUUUGGAAAACAAGUAAGUAUUGGAAUGUCUUGACAUCUUGUAGGGUGGAAACAAGUUCAUUGGUAACGUAGGACAUCAUACAAAACCAUUAUGGAUCACAUGUUAUUGAAUAACUUUGGAAACUUUCUUAAUAGAACAAUUGUUCACUUUCAUGCCAAAGAUAUGGUAUAGAGUAUGCUUUACAUACCUGACUGUCAACCUUCAAUACUAGUCCCAAAUGGACUUCCUGUCUUUUCGGAUUACUUAUCUACAAUAAACAAAUAUAGCAAUUUAGUAUUAGCAACCAAACGUCACAAUUCAAUUAUUUGAAUUCACCAAACUAGUGGUUAAGUAGUGAGCCUUAAUUACACCAUAAAGGGUGUCACUUUAACCCUCUUAUACUCCAAUUACAUUCACAUGCCAUGCAUAUUCAUACAAUAUCCUCCAAUAUCAAGUUUGGAUUCAUUUAUCCUUCCAACCAAUCCAUUAAACCAAAUUGAGCCAUCGAUAUAAAUAAUCAUCAAUUCAAUAGUAUAUCACCAUAUCCACCUUCCAUAACUCAAUUACCAUAUCCACCUUCCACAAUUCAAUACAACCAAACCAUGCAAAAUAGUCCAUAACCCUAUUUCCAUCACCUUUCAAUAACAACCAAUACAUAUAAUCCUCUAUCACACAUAUACAUAUGGAAAAGAACAAAGACAAAUAAUAUUCAUACCUUAGAAUUCACCUCUUGAUUAUGCAAUCCUGUUUGCACAAAUAAUAGGUGUCGUUCGAAGCUCGUGAGAUGACAAACGUAGUUAUCGGACUUUAGAAUUUCUACGGUUGAAUCAAAAGUAAUUUAAAGGUCAAAUUUGGCUAGACUUUGUUCUUCCUCAAUGAUUGAUGAUGAAAAUGAGUUUUUGAACUCAUAUACAUGUAUAUAUACACAUAUUCCCGUCCAUAAUAUAAAAGAAAAUGACCAAAAUGCCUUUAAAAUUUAAAUGAUGUCAAAUCUGUCCUUUGGUGGACUGUUUUGAUAAGCUAAAGUAGAUCGACCAUAACUAUUUGCUCCGAUAUCGGAUUUGAGUGAAAUUGGUAUCAUUGGAAGGAUAAUUCAAAGAAAUUUCAUUUCAUAUAAAGUAGGCCACCCAGUUCAUCCUGUACAAGGAGUUAUGGUCGUUUGAAGUUGACCCUAAAAAUCUGUUUUGAUAGGCUGAAGUAAAACGAGUAUAACUCCUUACUCAGACAUUGGAUUUAGAUGAAACCAAUUGCAUUGAAAAGAAGACUCAAAGAUCUUUCUUUUCAUAGGUUGCAGUUCUCCCAGAUCAUUAUAUUAAGGGAAUUAUGAUCGUUCGAAGUUGACCCAAAAAUUCAGCUGGCCUCAGUAGUUUGUGUGCAGAAAAUUUUUCUGCACAUUUACUAUUCCCAAAUAUCCCGACCACCGUUUUAUAGUUUCGAACGUGCUCGAUUAUAUCCAAAACCUAUCCAUUUUUGGAAAUCUUUAUAUCGUUGUAAAGCGGAUUCAAUAACCUUCGCAUAGAACCAUCGACGGGUAAAUUCUAGAAUAAAUAAAAUAAAAAAAAUUAAUUCCAUAUAAAUAAGACCACUACACGUACUUGAAUACGCCAAUACACAUACUUAAAUACAGGGUGUUACACAUAAGAUUAUACUUGAAACUAGGAACACAUAACACAUUUUCUAGAAUCAAAUCAGAAAAUAUGGCUACUGUACCUAUAUGAGUAACUGAAAUGGUUUGACAAUUAGGAAAAUUGAUAGUUAAAGGAAUUGAAGAUAAGUUAUGAAAGCAAAGGAAGAUGAAUUGAAACAUAUGUGUUCUGAUGCACCUGAAGCUAUGAUCCAGGUGCUAGAGUUUAGGACAGAAAAACAUGAACCAAGAUGCUUAGAAAUUGUACCAACUACAGAAUUAGCAUUAAUGUCAAUCCCUAAAUUUGAACCUCCCUCCAUCUUCAUCUGUUUGAACGUCUGAACAAAUUGAGAAUAUUGUUCCUUACCGAAAGAUAUCUCAGAUUCAAUGGCUUGUUUUUGCAUUGCAUCUUUCAUCAUAGCAUUAUUCCCCCUUAUCUGAUUUUGAGAACCCCUAUUAUUUAUGAACUGAAAAUUCUCAGGAAAGCCUAUCAGUAUGUAACAAUCUACUUCUAGAUGUGCUUGCUUUCCACAAUAAUCACAAGAGACAUUUAGGUUGUAUUUUCCCUUUUUUUCUUUGAGAUUUGAAAGCUGUUUGGUGAACCUAUGCUGCUGAACUUGAGGAGGUCCAGAUUUGGGAUAAAAACUCCUAGAUCUAUGGGGAGCUGAUGGUAUAAACUUGUGUCUAUUUCCCUGCCUUCUGAUUGUUAAUAUUUCUUGUCAUGAAGGCUAAUAAAUCUGCAGAACUCACAAGGUUGAAAUAAGAUUCCCUUUGGUUCUCAUCUUGCAAAAUCAAAGAAUAAGCAAGAUUGAUGUUAGGUAAUGGGUUGAUCAUGAGAAUGUUGCUUCUAGCUGGAGAAUAGGUAUCAUUAAAACCCAUGAUAAACUGUAUCAACCUUUUAUCCUCUUAAGGAUUUCUUUAGUUUGAGCUUACCUUCAAACAUACAUACGCAACUACACUGAAUAUUAAAAUUAAGAGAAUCUAGUUCAUUCCAUAAUUUUUUGAGUCUAGUGAAGUAUUCUACUAUGCUAUUUGUUCCUUGAUUUAAGCUAUUGAGCUCCUUUUGUAGAUGAUAAAGCUUAGCACCAUUGGACUGACCAAACCUGUGCUCAAAGCUGGUCCAAAGCUUUUGUAUAGUUUUGAAAUAAAUUACACUGUUAAUUAUGUCCUUACAGAGUGAAUUCAAGAUUCAGGAUGUGACCAUGUCAUUAUACCUAUUCCAUGCUUGAAAAUCUGUUGAAUCUGAUGUUGGGCAUGGGUGAGAACCCGUGCUAAAUCCAAAUUUGUUCUUUGCUAACAGAGCAAUUAGGACUGACCUCUUCCAACCCAGAUAUCCCUUGCCAUCAAAAGGUGUAUUUACUAGUGUCAUACCAAGGUUAUCAGAAGCAUGAAGAUGAUUAGUGUUUUGCAAAAAUUUUGACUUUUUGAAGAGAACCGCCUCUUAAUUUUGAAAAGAAAUUAAAAAAUCUUUAGAGAGUUACUUCAAACGAUCCAAAAUAGAAAAUCGUUCAAGUUUUGAAGAUUCUCAGUAAGCGGUUCCUAUUAAUGUUUUAAAAAGGUGUUAGGCACCUAAAAUGUCCGCCAACUUGCGGUUAUUCAAACUGUUUGAAAAUCAUCUUUGACUAACUUUAAAAGGAGUGUUUAUUUUUGAAAAGAAAGCAAUUUUAGAAAUAUUUUGGUGUUUAUACAAAACUAGUUUUUUAGCGACUUGACUAAGGAAUUAACUAGGUUUGCAAAUCACAUAAUACAAACAAGCAUAAAGAAGAUGGGGAAGGGGAGGAAGUAAGGGAUUUAGGCUUGGGCCCAAGUCAAUAAGACUUGUCCUAGUCUAAUUGAAUUUUCGACCCAUUUCACCUGUCCUAGUUUAGUUUUCGAGCCUUUGGCUUGUAUUAAGUACAACUUUGGCUUCGAGGCCCAAAUGAAUGAAUAAAUAAAUAAAGUAUAAAUAAAUAAAUAAUAAAGACAAUGGAUAAAUAAACAAAACAAUGAGACUUUCAAGUCCCCUUCGCUGCUUUAAAGAUGGGGCUUUCACCCCAUUUUCUUCUUCUUUCGACUCCUCGAAUCUGUAUGCCAUGAAAUCAUUUUUGGAUUUUCCUUUGGGCUGACUCAAUGAGAUGGGCCACAAUGGCCCAUAAUGAAAUGCAAANNNNNNNNNNNNNNNNNNNNNNNNNNNNNNNGAAAGAGUCCAUUUGGACUCCCAAGCGGGUUCAUGCAAAGAAAACGAUGCAAAGGAAAAGAGUCCAUUUGGACUCCCAAGCGGGUUCAUGCAAAGAAAACGAUGCAAAGGAUUAAUAUAUAUAUAAGUCAUGAUAAUUAUAUGAUUCUACAAGAUAUAUCCACACACAAAAAGAAAAGGAAUGGCGACUCACGAAAUCAGAGAUAGCAGAUACAUCAAAUUCUUGCUAUAUCAAGCUACAUUAUCUUAAAGUUACAUCAAAAUUUGGUAUAGUAAGGAUAGGAAUUAGACACCUAAAAUGUCAGCAAAUAAGCAGAGGAGAGGAAGUAAUUGAAAUGUGAUAACACGUUCAGAUUAGCUUAUGCCAGCUGCCAUAUGGAGACAAUUAAAUAAAUAGAUAAAAAUAUCCAAUUUCUUCCCAAUGAGACCAUUUUGAGUACUUUCAAAGUUGCAAGCAAUUGUUAUGUAAACACAAUUAUAGAAUAUAUGUACUAUUACAUCAUUCAUAACUUUCCUAUUUCAAUACCAAGGAGAACACGCAAUAGAGAAUGAACUAAACAAUCCCAAAGGUAAUGUUUGUCAAAGAAGGCAUUCAUACUAAUGCUUUUCAUAACUAGGGAGGUGAAUUUAUACGAGCAAAGAUACUUGUAACAAUUACACCUUUGGAAGAAGUCAAGAAAGAAUGCGUCCUUACUUAUACGUUCUAGAAACUAGAUGCAUUCACACAUAGGUAGAUGGUCGAAAACUUUGAAUCUGGAAGCUUAUGAGCAAACCAAAUUGUCGCUCAUUUUUUAAAGAUUCAUUAAUCAAUACGUAUGUCCUAGGAUAAAAGAGAACAAGAAAAAAGUCAAAGUCGGAUCCUAUCUUAUUAUCCAUUAUCAAUUUGAGCAAAUCUGCAGUCAAUGAUGGAAAAUAGGGGAACAUAUUUGUUUUAAAUUUAGCAUUAUAAAUACAUAACCGUAAAAAAAAGAUAGGAUGAGCAUGGAACCAGUCAGAAAAAAAAGAAAAUAAAACAACAACGAUAACAACAAUAUUUUGUACAAUGUACGAACAGGAGAUGGACGAUCGACCUCUCCCCUAAUCAUAUGAGAACACUAGCAGGCAAUGUUUCACUGUAAAAGAAAAAAAAGACUCUUGAUGCAGGUAGGUGCAGAGAAAAUGAAACGACAUCAUAGCGGAUUUUAAUAGAGACAAAAAGGAUACUACCUGUUCGGGAGCAUCAAAACAGGGCUACGAGCUGGCAUUGGAAUCCACCACCACCGAAAAGUUCAACGCCUCGCCUCUGAAAAGCUCCGAGCUAUCGUCGACCAAAGAACUUAUACUAAAAUAUGCUAUGUUUCUUUUCUUCCGAAACUUUUCCCCUAGUUUUCGAACUUAGCUUUUCUCAAGAAGAUUUUUUUUUCACAUUAAAAUUUCUAAACCAAGAAUUUCCAACCUAAAGAGAUUUUUCCCUCUUCUCUCUUCAGACCCAAGAGAAAAAUUCCUUGCCCUAGCUUUCUCGACCAAUUUUUCAACCCCCCAAAUUUUGAACCACAGAGAAAAAAAAAAAGCAAUCCCUUAGCUUUUUCUGAAUCCCCGAUUUCUAACCCCUUGAUUUUUCGAAUCCAAAAUCCUCUUUUCCAGACCCCAAAAAUUUGAAUCCCAAAAAACUUCUCACCGUUGAGAUAUAUAUAUACAGGCGUACAGGGAUAAAUUGGGGAUUUCGAAAAGAGAAAAUUUUGAAUUUCAAAUUCGAAAAUUCCCCUCUUUGGAUUUAUUUCGAGGGGUAAAAAAUGGGUGGACCAAUAGAAUUGGGGAAAAACAAAUUCUCUCUCACAUCCAAUGAAAAUCCACCAAAUAUGUACGAAAUCGUACCAUUGUUACCGAGAUUUGCGGAAUUCAUCUGUUGAGGGGAUACCUACACAUCUUCUAGAGGAUUCUCGGACUUCCCAUGGUACGAAACCGCAUGCUACUCACGUGAGGAGUACGAUAGAAGUGAGGGAGAGAAAAAACGACGGGUUUUGUCGGGUCGGAGCUGGUUGGAAUCAGGUUGUGGACGUUGAUGUUGAAUUUGGAUUGAGAGUUGCUGAUGUUUUUUGUACACUGAUUUUUGUGUUCUUGUGCGCAUAUUGUUGUUGUUUGUUGAAGCAGAGAAAUUGGGCCGGGUUGGAUUAAUUAAUUGGUGGGCUGGUGUGGUUAACAUGGACUGCUGAUAGUUUUAUGUGGCCCAAUGUACAAUAAAUAGGGGUAGAAAUUUGAUAAUUUAAAAAAUGGCCUAAUAAAAUUAAUUUUGUAGCCAAUUGUACUUAAAUCUUAACCAAAUUGGAUAUCAAUUUCAUUACAAUUUUGAUCAACUUGAUUUCAAUUAUGGUCAAAUUUAAUAAAUUAAUUAAAUUUAAUCGAGAUUCGAUAUGAAUUAAUACAUUGUUUAAUCUUGAUCUUCUUGAUUUGAUAAAAUUAAAUAAAUUUUAUCCAAAUAAAUUAUUUUCUAGAGCAAAUUAUAUUUAAAUCUAGAUUUUAAUCAUUUAAAUUUAUUUUCAAGAUAAGCCUUGACUAAAAUUCGAUAUUUUGUAAAAUAAAUUUUUAAGUAACAAAAUUAUAAAAUUUUGUAUAAUUGAACACGAUAAUAUAUAAUCGCUACUUAAAAUGAGCAAUUUACCCAAAUAAAUACUUUGUAAAUCCUUUAUUCAGAUAAAAUAAAUGUUGUAAUUUUAUUUAAAAAUUGAAGAAACUUCGAAUUAAACUUAGUUAUGGAGGGCAAAAAUUAGGUGUUAACAAUUAGAAUGAUUUGGAUCCAUGGUGAUGGCGCUAGCAGUAUUAGUCAUUGAAGCAGUAGCUAUUUGCUCCGCCAUGUUUGAGAUUGAGAAAGGAGAAAAUUGGUGUUGAAUCUGAUCUGAUCUGAAAAUUAUUGCUUUGAUACCAUGUAGAAAAGUUAGAACCAACUUUGAGAAAUUUUCUUGAUGAUAUUUAUUAUGUGUGAACCAAUGUAUAUAUAUACAUGUAUCUUAUGCAAGAAGCUAAAUAAUAAAAACAUAAAGCUAAUUAAUAAAACAACAAAAUAAAUAUCUACACACUUGUAUCUUGUGACACUUUUUUCUUUAUUCUCAACAGAGAUUAAUUAUCAAAGAACACCUAAAAUAUUUAAAAGAUAUAUAAAAAAAUCAUUGAUGCUUGAAAUUUUAAUUAUAUCACAUAAAUUGAUAGGAUAUUUUUUUUUUUCUUGACAACGAUAGGAUAAUAGUUAAAUGAGCUAAUUAACAUGACUCCCAUAUUAUUUUACCAGGAUAUGUUGU